RNAcentral lists this transfer RNA (73 nucleotides) under Anaplasma marginale. RNAcentral describes it as "tRNA-Ile". It matches the Rfam family "tRNA". From Rfam's summary of the family: Transfer RNA (tRNA) molecules are approximately 80 nucleotides in length. Their secondary structure includes four short double-helical elements and three loops (D, anti-codon, and T loops). Further hydrogen bonds mediate the characteristic L-shaped molecular structure. tRNAs have two regions of fundamental functional importance: the anti-codon, which is responsible for specific mRNA codon recognition, and the 3' end, to which the tRNAs corresponding amino acid is attached (by aminoacyl-tRNA synthetases). tRNAs cope with the degeneracy of the genetic code in two manners: having more than one tRNA (with a specific anti-codon) for a particular amino acid; and 'wobble' base-pairing, i.e. permitting non-standard base-pairing at the 3rd anti-codon position. Lineage: Bacteria; Pseudomonadati; Pseudomonadota; Alphaproteobacteria; Rickettsiales; Anaplasmataceae. RNAcentral also lists the same sequence under 7 other names. The record is from RNAcentral.
GGGUCUGUAGCUCAGCGGUUGGAGCGCACGCCUGAUAAGCGUGAGGACGGAAGUUCGAUUCUUCCCAGGCCCA